CCUACGAGUGGCUGCAGUGAGGAAUAUUGGUCAAUGUCCGCGAGCCUGAACCAGCCAAGUAGCGUGAAGGAUGACUGCCCUACGGGUUGUAAACUUCUUUUAUAAAGAAAUAAAAUGAUGCCCGUUUGCCUUUUUGUAUUUACUUUAUUAAUAAGGAUCGGCUACCUCCGUUCCAGCAGCCGCGGUAAUACGGAGGAUCCGAGCUUUAUCCGUAUUUAUUGGGUUUAAAGGGAGCGUAGAUGGGGUGUUAAGUCAGUGGUGAAAGUUUGCGGCUCAACGGUAAAAUUGCAAUUGAUACUGGCAGUCUUGAGUACAGUUGAGGUAGGCGGAAUUCGUGGUGUAGCGGUGAAAUGCUUAGAUAUCACGAAGAACUCCGAUUGCGAAGGCAGCUUACUAAACUGCCACUGACAUUGAUGCUCGAAAGUGUGGGUAUCAAACAGGAUUAGAUACCCUAGUAGUC
This 460-nucleotide ribosomal RNA is filed under the name uncultured bacterium. Its description in RNAcentral is "partial 16S ribosomal RNA". It matches the Rfam family "Bacterial small subunit ribosomal RNA", at positions 338 to 795 of the family's 1533-position model. The record is from RNAcentral.